RNAcentral lists this long non-coding RNA (207 nucleotides) under Vigna radiata. RNAcentral's name for it is "long non-coding RNA (VRAD_LNC014642)". The record is from RNAcentral. Lineage: Eukaryota; Viridiplantae; Streptophyta; Magnoliopsida; Fabales; Fabaceae.
UGGAGGUGGAGCAGGGUGAGAGAGAAGUCAUGUGAUUUGAAUAAUGAAGCAUUUGAUAAAAUGAAUUUGUUUGCAUGCGAUUAGGGAGAAAGUGAUAAAGAGUUUACAGAGGGAGUGAGCAGGAUUUGCACGAGAAAGUGCAGGAAGGGUCCCACCAUCACACCCUUUCCUCCUUUACCUUUUGGUUUGUCGUGGGUACCCUCCAGC